RNAcentral lists this ribosomal RNA (432 nucleotides) under uncultured bacterium. RNAcentral describes it as "partial 16S ribosomal RNA". It matches the Rfam family "Bacterial small subunit ribosomal RNA", at positions 29 to 507 of the family's 1533-position model. The record is from RNAcentral.
ACGCACGCUGGCGGCAUGCCUAACACAUGCCAGUCGCACGAGACCUUCGGGUCUAGUGGCGCACGGGUGCGUAACGCGUGGGAAUCUGCCCUUGGGUUCGGAAUAACAGUUGGAAACGACUGCUAAUACCGGAUGAUGACGUAAGUCCAAAGAUUUAUCGCCCAAGGAUGAGCCCGCGUAGGAUUAGCUAGUUGGUGAGGUAAAGGCUCACCAAGGCGACGAUCCUUAGCUGGUCUGAGAGGAUGAUCAGCCACACUGGGACUGAGACACGGCCCAGACUCCUACGGGAGGCAGCAGUGGGGAAUAUUGGACAAUGGGCGAAAGCCUGAUCCAGCAAUGCCGCGUGAGUGAUGAAGGCCUUAGGGUUGUAAAGCUCUUUUACCCGGGAUGAUAAUGACAGUACCGGGAGAAUAAGCUCCGGCUAACUCCGUG